UCCAUUCCACAUCCUUAAUGUGUAUAACACACUUAAACAACAUUAACCAUAAUUUCAAUAUUCACUAACAUGUAUAUUCAAAGCUGUUUAUCCAAGUCAGAGUCACUAAAUUAUUUUUAUCCGGAGCUACAGAGCUCCAAAUUAAGAUCUGUUAAUUUUCCCUGAAACUAGACUCACAUAUCUUCAUACCAUAAAAUUUUCAGAAUUUUUGGUUCAGCCAAAUAGUACAGUUUAUUCUUUAAAGUUUCCCCUGUUUCGCUGUCUGACAGUUCCGACCACUCUUCACUAAAAAUUAAUUAUCUCAUUGUACAGAAUUCGGAUGAUGUUUUAGCUUGUUUCUUCUAAAAAUAUACUCAUUAAGGAUUCUAACCAUAUAAACUAUAACUCAUAAUCAUUUUUUUACAAUUUUUAAUGAUUUUUCAAAGUCAGAACAGGGGAACCCGAAUUCAUUCUGACCUUGUCUCACAAAAUCUAUUAUAUCUCAUGAUUUACAAUUCCAUUGCUCACAUCAUUUCUUUUAUAAGAAACUAGACUCAAUAAGCUUUAGUUUCAUAUUUUAUUCAUCCUCUAAUUCAAUCUCUACAAUUUUUGGUGAUUUUUCAAAGUUACACUACUGCUGCUGUCCAAAACUGCUUUAGUGCAAAAUGUUGAUUUCCAUUUUGCCCCAAAUUUCACAGUUUAUACAAUUCGGUCCUUUCUCAAUUAACCCCUCAAUUAAUCUAAUUUUCUCAAUUAGUACUUUACUAGACAUUAUAAGUUGUUACACAACUAUUGAAAUUCAGAAUUUCCACAUAUAACUCUAUCUUCAAACUCUUUUACUAUUAGGUCCCAAACAUUCACUUUCUAUUCAAUUCUUUCAAUAAAAUCAGCAUAUGAACAAUUUAAAGCUCUAAUUUCAUGCUAAAUCAUCAUAUACUUCCAGCACAUAUUCAUAUCAACUUUCAACUUCUUUCAUAAAAUCAAAAACUAAUGAAUUUAACAAGUGGGCCUAGUUGUAAAAGUCAUAAAAAUACAAAAAUUUCAAGAAAUAGUCAAGAAUUGAACUUACUUGUAAUAAAAAUAUGAAGAACCAGCUUGAAUAAGCC
RNAcentral lists this long non-coding RNA (1085 nucleotides) under Gossypium barbadense (sea-island cotton). RNAcentral describes it as "long non-coding RNA (GBAR_LNC019266)". Lineage: Eukaryota; Viridiplantae; Streptophyta; Magnoliopsida; Malvales; Malvaceae. The record is from RNAcentral.